This is a non-coding RNA of Chelonoidis abingdonii (Abingdon island giant tortoise), 977 nucleotides long. The record is from RefSeq and is a predicted model, not a curated record. NCBI's taxonomy places the organism in Eukaryota, Metazoa, Chordata, Testudines, Testudinidae.
GGAGCUGCCCCACGCCUGCUACCCGGGGGGGGUUGUCGGAGCUGCUGCCCAACCCCUGCCCCGAUGAACCUAUGCUCCUGGACCCCCCAGAGGCCAACGCCAGGACCCAGUGAGGCGGCCUCGCUCCCAGCCGCUCCAGAGAAGGACGAACCCCAACAGCGGAUGUGUACAGAUGCAAAUAGAGAGGAAGUUGGUGAAAUGAGACAUACAAGACAGCUGUUGCUGAUGACAGGCUGUGACACCCAUAGUGGAGAGUCUGAGGUCAUUGGAAAAACUCCCUGGUUCAGGUCCAAAGACAGAGGUGGCUGAGGUCAGGUGAGCAGCAGAGACAAAGUCUGCGAUCCUUCCUCACCUUCAGAUGGCACAGCCUGGGCGGUGAGGAUGAAAGGAUCGUAGUAGCUGUACAUCGCUUUCUUCCAUACCACGGACAUGACAUGCCCCGAAGAAAGAACUUCCACCAUGGGUUCCUGACGGCUGCAGCCAUAGAAUCUGAGAGGAAAGAGAUAGCAGGAAGUGUGAAAGAGGGUGGGAAUGAGGAAAGGAGGUGAGGAAAGGAGAGGAGCGAAGUGGUGGCAAGAGACGGGGAGAGAGAAAAAAGAGGGGAUGAAAUUAUUCAGACCUUUAACUUCAGUAUGUUACUAGACACUACGGCCCAGAUCCUCAAAGGUGUUUAGGCUUCUGACUUUCAUCAAAAUCAAUGGAUAUUAGGAGCCUAAAUACCUCUGAAGCUCUGGGACUAGUAACCAAAUCAAGGAAUAGCAUCGAGAAAAGGGCUCAGAUGAGGGUUGGGGAGCACGUCCCCACCCCUUGUCAGGACCUUCAUCUUGUCUCACACCAGACCACCUUCAUGAGGACUCUGAGACCACAGGGUACCUCUUGUGAUGCUACGCCACAUAUUCUUUAUAGAGAUAUGCUUAUGAUAUGAAUAUGACCUAACUAAGAUGUAUUUUAUGCAAGAUGGGUCAUGUGAGGUAUCA